AUGGCUCAGAAUGAACGUUGGCGGCGUGGAUUAGGCAUGCAAGUCGCACGAGAACCCCGCAAGGGGGGACAGUGGCAAACGGCGUAGUAAGGCGUAGGUGACGUACCCCGAGACCGGGAUAGCCACGGGAAACUGUGGGCAAUACCGGAUAAUUCCCCUCUUCUUGGAAAAAGGAGGGGGCAAAGGUGAGAGUCCGUCUUGGGAGCGGCUUACGUAGUAUUAGCUAGUUGGUGAGGUGACGGCUCACCAAGGCGAUGAUGCUUAGGGGGUGUUAGCGCAUGACCCCCACGACUGGGACUGAGAUACUGCCCAGACACCUACGGGUGGCUGCAGUCGAGAAUCUUCGGCAAUGGGCGCAAGCCUGACCGAGCGACGCCGCGUGCGGGAUGAAGGCCCUUGGGUUGUAAACCGCUGUCAGAGGGGAUGAAAUGUAUGUGGGCACUCCCAUGUAUUUGACAUAGCCUCAGAGGAAGCACGGGCUAAGUUCGUG
Molecule: ribosomal RNA, 490 nt
Filed under: uncultured bacterium
Lineage: Bacteria
Description: bacterial SSU rRNA
Rfam family: Bacterial small subunit ribosomal RNA
Source: RNAcentral